UUUCAGGUACAUGAAGAAUUGUGUUUAUAACAUCUUUGAAGAGGUGAAUGAAACUAAAUUCCCCGGUUUUAAGAAGACCACCUGGCUUGAGUGCAUUCAAGAACCCGGUGAAGUUAUCUUUGUUCCCAGUGGGUGGCAUCAUCAACAUUGUAUAUAACUUGGAAGACACGAUAUCUAUAAACC
Camelina sativa (false flax) is the source of this 183-nucleotide long non-coding RNA. RefSeq lists it as uncharacterized. Lineage: Eukaryota; Viridiplantae; Streptophyta; Magnoliopsida; Brassicales; Brassicaceae. The record is from RefSeq and is a predicted model, not a curated record.